RNAcentral lists this transfer RNA (71 nucleotides) under Millerozyma farinosa. Its description in RNAcentral is "transfer RNA-Trp". It matches the Rfam family "tRNA". Rfam says of the family: Transfer RNA (tRNA) molecules are approximately 80 nucleotides in length. Their secondary structure includes four short double-helical elements and three loops (D, anti-codon, and T loops). Lineage: Eukaryota; Fungi; Ascomycota; Pichiomycetes; Serinales; Debaryomycetaceae. The record is from RNAcentral.
AAGAGUAUCGUUUAAAGGUAAAACACUUGUCUUCAACACACUUGAUAGUAGUUCGAAUCUGCUUACUCUUG